CGUGGGAUCAGACCCGAAACCAGGUGAUCUAGCCAUGAGCAGGAUGAAGGUUGGGUAACACCAACUGGAGGUCCGAACCAACACCCGUUGAAAAGGGUCUGGAUGACUUGUGGCUAGGGGUGAAAGGCUAAUCAAACCUGGAGAUAGCUGGUUCUCCGCGAAAGCUAUUUAGGUAGCGCCUCGGACGAAUACCUGCGGGGGUAGAGCACUGCAUGGAUGAUGGGGGCCCACAGCCUUACUGAGUCUAAGCAAACUCCGAAUACCGCAGAGUACUAUCCGGGAGACACACAGUGGGUGCUAACGUCCAUUGUGAAGAGGGAAACAACCCUGACCUGCAGCUAAGGCCCCUAAUUCGUGGCUAAGUGGGAAAGCAUGUGGGACGGCCAAAACAACCAGGAUGUUGGCUUAGAAGCAGCCAUCAUUUAAAGAUAGCGUAACAGCUCACUGGUCUAGACAAGCUGUCCUGCGGCGAAGAUGUAACGGGG
RNAcentral lists this ribosomal RNA (485 nucleotides) under uncultured bacterium. RNAcentral describes it as "bacterial LSU rRNA". It matches the Rfam family "Bacterial large subunit ribosomal RNA", at positions 702 to 1180 of the family's 2925-position model. The record is from RNAcentral.